RNAcentral lists this ribosomal RNA (677 nucleotides) under uncultured Lachnospiraceae bacterium. RNAcentral's name for it is "bacterial SSU rRNA". It matches the Rfam family "Bacterial small subunit ribosomal RNA", at positions 68 to 757 of the family's 1533-position model. The record is from RNAcentral. Lineage: Bacteria; Bacillati; Bacillota; Clostridia; Lachnospirales; Lachnospiraceae.
UUUGAUUCUUCGGAUGAAGAUCUUGGUGACUGAGUGGCAGACGGGUGAGUAACGCGUGGGUAACCUGCCUCAUACAGGGGGAUAACAGUUAGAAAUGACUGCUAAUACCGCAUAAGACCACAGCACCGCAUGGUGCAGGGGUAAAAACUCCGGUGGUAUGAGAUGGACCCGCGUCUGAUUAGGUAGUUGGUGGGGUAACGGCCUACCAAGCCGACGAUCAGUAGCCGACCUGAGAGGGUGACCGGCCACAUUGGGACUGAGACACGGCCCAAACUCCUACGGGAGGCAGCAGUGGGGAAUAUUGCACAAUGGGGGAAACCCUGAUGCAGCGACGCCGCGUGAGCGAUGAAGUAUUUCGGUAUGUAAAGCUCUAUCAGCAGGGAAGAAAAUGACGGUACCUGACUAAGAAGCACCGGCUAAAUACGUGCCAGCAGCCGCGGUAAUACGUAUGGUGCAAGCGUUAUCCGGAUUUACUGGGUGUAAAGGGAGCGUAGACGGAGUGGCAAGUCUGAUGUGAAAACCCGGGGCUCAACCCCGGGACUGCAUUGGAAACUGUCAAUCUAGAGUACCGGAGAGGUAAGCGGAAUUCCUAGUGUAGCGGUGAAAUGCGUAGAUAUUAGGAGGAACACCAGUGGCGAAGGCGGCUUACUGGACGGUAACUGACGUUGAGGCUCGAA